AAAAAUGGAAGUGGCUGAGCAAGCGGAGGUUUUUUUUUUCUUUUUUUUCUUUUUUUUGUUUUUUUUACUUGAAACAAAGUCUCAGCACAGCAGCCCGAUGAGAGGCGAUGCCAGGCAGGCGACGGUCUGAGAGGAGGACUAAGGCGCGAGCGCAGAUGUGGUGUUUUGAUCUUCCCUGAGGACUCAGCAGUCAGAGCUCACUUCAGAGUUGAAGCUGGUUGAGUCAAAAGAGCCCUCUGCAUGAUGAUUUCAAUGAUGCUGUGAAGAAACAGAGAGUCCUGAGCUGCUGGGCACUGCAUCCAGGGUUUGUACUGUGUGUUUUUGUGGCUGCUUGCAGACUGUGCAACUUCCAAAUCUUCACUCAGAUGUAAUAACGAAGGCAAUCACAGCAUAUACUGGUGUGUCCUAGUCACAAAACAUUGGAGACUGGAGGCUAGCUCUGUUGAGGAGUGCUGUUUCUUGUAGUCUGUUGAUAUGAACAGAUCUCUCAUCUCAGACAUACCCACCAACAGACCUUCCGAAUGCAGCAGGAAAGGGCAGGCAGAAGUCACAGUCUCAGCUCUUUUCCUUCUCUAGUCAAAUUGUUUUAAAGGUGCUGGUACAAAAUUAAGAAGUGCUUCCUAUCCAGUGAGACAUGGUAGGUAAGGAGAAUAAAUCUCAGAACAGGUUUUCACAGGUACACUGUUAAAACUUGUGGGAUAGGCAUGAUGUCCGAAGACUUCUUGUGUGGUAUGCUCUGUGGAUGUGCUUGGUGUGAGUAUGAAGGCCUGAAGAGAAUGAGAAUGCUUUAUAGGACUUAGCUGGAAAGAAGCUCUGCAGGACCUGGGGGUCCUGGUGGACAGCAGGUUGGCCAUGAGCCAGCAGUGUGCCCUUGUGGCCCAGAAGACCAAUGAUAUCCUGGGAUUCAUUAAAAACAGCAGGUCAAGGGAGGUGAUCCUCACCCUCUCUGCUCUGCCCUGGUGAGGCCACAUCUGGUGCGCUGUGUCCAGUUCUGGGCUCCUCAGUUCUAGAAAGACUUGUAGAGAGAGGGGGCUCUCUGCAGAGGGCCACAAAGGUGAUUAGGGGUCUGGAGCAUCUCCCUCUUGAGGAAGGGCUGAGAGACCUGGGGCUGUUCAGCUAGGACAAGAGGAGGCUGAGGGGGAUUUAUCAGUGUUUACAAAGGGCAGGAGUCAAUUGGAUAGAGCCAGGCUCUUUGCAGUGAUGCUCAGUGGCAGAACAAGGGGUAAUAGGCAUAAACUGGAACUCUGGAAGUUCCAUAGGAACAUGAGAAAAAACUUUACUGUGAGGGUGACAGAACACUGGAACAGGCUGCCCAGAGAGGCUGUGGAGUCAUCUUCUCUGGAUAAAUUCAAAAUCCACCUGGAUGCUUUCCUGUGCAACCUACUCUAGGGAACCUGCUUUAGCAGGGGAUUGGACUAAAUUAUCUGCAGAUGUCCCUUCCUACCCCUACAAUUCUGUGAUUCUGUGACUGAUUUUUGGAAGUGUCUUGAAGUGAGUAUAGAUAUAGUCACAGACAAUCUUAAUAAUGUAUUAUUCUAAGUAAAAAAUAGAAUGGGCAAGGCUGUGUGAGUAAAGAGUGUGUGCAUGCUCUUUCUCUGAGCAAAUUCCCACUUUUUCCUUACUUUUUUUUUCCGGAAUUUGGCAUUUCUAUACUUCUGCCUACAAAGCUAUUAGUUUGUACUGUGUCAAAUGUUUGUGCUGUGAUCCUGUCCUCCACAGGAAUGAGGGGUGGGGAGUGGAAGCAAUUCAAUAAAGUUGGAUUUUCAUGAAUUAGAGAAUCUCCAAACACUUGGACGCUUAGAUGAAGCAAAUUUGCAUUAUUUACCUUUAUCCCCCAUUUUUUUUAAUUGUUGCUACUUAUUUUUAAAUAUGAUCUUUUUUUUCCUCUUUGUUAUUGAAAUGUAUUUAUGAUAUUACAUUGAAUAAUGAUACCUUUUUCAACUAUAGAUUAUAAGUGUUUUUAAAGAUGUCACUGCUGCUAUCUUUAACAAAUAGAUGAAAUUACUUUGUCAGGACUACUAAGGAGGAAACAAUAUAAUAAACAUGGAAACAGAA
Molecule: long non-coding RNA, 2055 nt
Organism: Numida meleagris (helmeted guineafowl)
Lineage: Eukaryota; Metazoa; Chordata; Aves; Galliformes; Numididae
Exons: 3
Source: RefSeq, a predicted model, not a curated record